This 205-nucleotide ribosomal RNA is filed under the name uncultured bacterium. Its description in RNAcentral is "partial 16S ribosomal RNA". It matches the Rfam family "Bacterial small subunit ribosomal RNA", at positions 443 to 640 of the family's 1533-position model. The record is from RNAcentral.
GAACGAAAAAGCCUUGGUUAAUACCCUUGGUCCAUGACGGUACCGUAAGAAUAAGCACCGGCUAACUACGUGCCAGCAGCCGCGGUAAUACGUAGGGUGCAAGCGUUAAUCGGAAUUACUGGGCGUAAAGCGUGCGCAGGCGGUUAUAUAAGACUGAUGUGAAAUCCCCGAGCUUAACUUGUGUACUGCAUUUGUGAUUGUAUAG